Molecule: ribosomal RNA, 497 nt
Filed under: uncultured bacterium
Lineage: Bacteria
Description: partial 16S ribosomal RNA
Rfam family: Bacterial small subunit ribosomal RNA
Source: RNAcentral
GAUGAACGCUGGCGGCGUGCCUAAUACAUGCAAGUCGAGCGAACAGACGAGGAGCUUGCUCCUCUGACGUUAGCGGCGGACGGGUGAGUAACACGUGGAUAACCUACCUAUAAGACUGGGAUAACUUCGGGAAACCGGAGCUAAUACCGGAUAAUAUAUUGAACCGCAUGGUUCAAUAGUGAAAGACGGUUUUGCUGUCACUUAUAGAUGGAUCCGCGCCGCAUUAGCUAGUUGGUAAGGUAACGGCUUACCAAGGCAACGAUGCGUAGCCGACCUGAGAGGGUGAUCGGCCACACUGGAACUGAGACAAGGUCCCGACGCCUACGGGAGGCAGCAGUUGGGAAUCUUCCGGCAUGGGCGAAAGCCUGACGGAGCAACGGCGCGUGAGUGAUGAAGGUCUUCGGAUCGUAAAACUCUGUUAUUAGGGAAGAACAAAUGUGUAAGUAACUAUGCACGUCUUGACGGUACCUAAUCAGAAAGCCACGGCUAACUACGUG